This is a small nuclear RNA of Jaculus jaculus (lesser Egyptian jerboa), 103 nucleotides long. The record is from Ensembl. Lineage: Eukaryota; Metazoa; Chordata; Mammalia; Rodentia; Dipodidae.
UUAUACUGGUUUCAAAACUGGUACCUGGAACGAUACAUUGCAUAGAUUAGCAUGCCCCCUGCACAAGGAUGGCAUGCAAAUUCAUGAAGCAUUCUAUAUUUUU